AGAGGGGUCCAGGCAGAAGGACCACCCCUUCCCUUUCCACCAAAUCAUUAGCCUAGGAUGCCGCCGUGGUGCCACCUGAGACUCCGGGGACUGACCUGAUUGUGUGGGAGGAGGACCGGAGCGCUGGGGUCAGAAGGCAUCUGCCUCCAGGAGAAACUGGCAACGGCGACGAUUCCUCCCACCCGACCCCUCCCAGUGGAGGGGGUCCGCGGCAAAGACAACAACCCCUACUCAACCUCCGCCGCAGGUGAGAAAAAUGAAAAAUGAAUUUGAAAAGAUAGGUCUUGGGGCUUCCCUGGUGGCGCAGCGGUUAAGAAUCUGCCUGCCAAUGCAGGGGACAUGGGUUCGAGCCCUGGUCCGUGAAGAUCCCACAUGCCAUGGAGCAACUAAGCCUGUGCACCACAACUACUGAGCCUGCACUCGAGAGCCCAUGAGCCAAAACUACUGAAGGCCGCACGCCUAGAGCCAGUGCUCUGCAACAAAGAGAAGCCACCACGAGAAGCCUACGCACCACUACGCAGAGUAACCCCUGCUCGCCACAACUGGAGAAAGCCUGCGUGCAGCAACGAAGACCCAAUGCAGCCAAAAUUAAAUAAAUCAAUAAAUAAAAUUUAAAAAAAA
This is a long non-coding RNA of Balaenoptera acutorostrata (minke whale), 621 nucleotides long. RefSeq lists it as uncharacterized. The record is from RefSeq and is a predicted model, not a curated record. The transcript has 2 exons. Lineage: Eukaryota; Metazoa; Chordata; Mammalia; Artiodactyla; Balaenopteridae.